Molecule: ribosomal RNA, 279 nt
Filed under: uncultured bacterium
Lineage: Bacteria
Description: partial 16S ribosomal RNA
Rfam family: Bacterial small subunit ribosomal RNA
Source: RNAcentral
UGCCAGCCGCCGCGGUAAUACGGAGGGGGCGAGCGUUAUUCGGAAUUACUGGGCGUAAAGGGUGCGUAGGCGGCCCAUCAAGUUAGACGUGAAAGCCCCGGGCUCAACCUGGGAAUUGCCCCUGAUACUGUAGUGCUUGAAUCAUGCUGAGGUCGGCGGAAUGAGUCAUGUAGCGGUGAAAUGCAUAGAUAUGACUUAGAACACCAAUUGCGAAGGCAGCUGGCUGGGUAUGAAUUGACGCUGAGGCACGAAAGCGUGGGGAGCGAACAGGAUUAGAUA